CGAACAACGCUAAUCCGGAGAGACUGACAUCUGGGCUGUGCCUUUAAGAGUUGGAGGUGAGGUGAUUAGGAGUGUAUUGCAUGUAUAAUGGAUGCCAUUAAAAGGUGUGCUAAAACAUGCAAUUUGCAUUUAAACAGAUUACCUUCCAGGCUGUUUUGUGCAAAAUAGACUGGAGUUGGCCAGGGGUGGAAGCAUAAACCCAUUAAGUGAGGAAGAAGAAGAAACAAGAUGGGAAAAAAAAAUGUCCCUUACAUGUUUGGCUUGAGCUUCUGGAAAGACAAUGUUUCCACUAUGUGAACUGUGAAGACUGGAAAACAGAUGAUUUCAAGGGGUGAAGGAUGCCUUGGACAAGUAAAUUUCAGACACACAGCAGACACUGAAGUAGAAUGGUGGAGGCAGAAGCCAGACUGAAAUUAUUUGAAGAAAAAAUUGAGAAUAAAGAAGUAGAAACAAAGCGUAGAACCCAUCUGGUGAUAUUUUGCAAAGAAAAGCAAAGGGGAAGUAAUGAGAAAGCAAAAAGGAAAUGUUGGGUAAAAGGAGGUUGUUGCUUUAAAUAGGACAGCCAAGCUCGUCUGGUGUGCCGAUGGGAAUCUUCCUGUAGAGAGAGACUGAUAAUGUUGAAGUGAGAGGAAAUAAUUCAAAGGGGUGAAGUCUUUGAGAAGGAGAGAAGAGAUGGCAGCCAAGACACAAGAGGAGGAAGGUAGGAAGAGGAAGAGGAAAUACAGGAAGACAGAGAACAUGAGGAGUAGCACAGAGGCAUGAAGUGGCAGCAGGUGCACAAAGCUGCUGACCUGGAGAGCAGAGAGGUGGACAGCUCCAGGCCAGGAGGGCUGAGGGACCCGAGCAGGUGGGCCAGGGGACGGGCAGGCAGCAGAGACAAGGAAGUGAGGAGGAUUCACAUCAGGGCUGGGACACCAUGGGGUCUGUGGUCCCUGACCAGAGGCAGAGGUCAGGGAGAACUAGCAGGCAGGAACAGCACCAGGCAGCUGCAAAAGGAGAAGUGUGGCACUUAACACGUCAGUGAAACUUUAUCCUUGGACAAACUUCCUUCCUGCCCUUGCUUCUGAGUCUUUCUCAAGCCACAGUGGCACUGGGUAAGUAAGCAACACAGAUGCAUGACCAGGUAAGGGUUGUUUUUUUUUUUUUUCCUUUAGAUGCAGCCUGAAAAACAAAUGCAUAUCAAAUCCUCAUGAAUCUUUUCCCCUAAGGUUUUGAGCUUGAGAUAAAAAUUCUCCUGGGUUUGUCCUUACUGAAUGGAUAAGGGUUCCCAGCGAAUAGAUUUUUUUUCUUUUAAUUAACCAGGCAAUUGUGUUCUUAUCCAUUAUAAGGAGGACCCUCAAAGGACAUCGUCUGCCCAUGGAGUCUUAUGUCCUUCAGAAACCAAAGAUGUCCUCUUAUCUCUUCCCCAUUGCUUAAAGGGAUGGGGACAAAGGAGGAAAACAUAGUUAAACCAGCACCCAUGACUUUAUUUCUUAUUCCCUCAUUCUGAUUAUUCAUUGCUUUCCCUCUUUCAUUCCAACUCUUCAGUUUCUGCAAAUUUCUCCUCUUAUGCAGUGUUUCUGUGUAUUUUUAGCUGAUAGCUAAAUCUGAGAAUAAUAACAGCUACCUUUAGAAUAGUGCCCCACAGAGAGUAAGUCCUCAGUAAAUAAUCAAUUGAAUUAAUUUAAAUAUGAUUGUCAUUAUUAGUGGAAUAAGCACUUAUUAUAUGCCAGACUGCAUUUAACAUUUGUGAUUUCACUGUACCUUCACAGUAGUUUGAGAUUGGCAUUUUUCUCCCCAUUUUACAGAAAAGGAAACUGAGUCACAGAAAGGUUAUGCUGCUUCUCUCAGCAUGUACCAAUGUCUGCUGUUAAAUGGUGGAGUCAGGAACCAAUAGCAGCAGUCUGAACCAGACCUCAAUGAUGAGGGUUUUUGUUGUUUUUAUUUGUUUUAAUUUGAAUUAUAGUUAACAUACACGGCAAUAUAGGUUUCAGAAGUAGAAUUCAGUGAUUCAUCACUUACAUACAACAGCCAGUGCUCGUGACAACAAGUGCCCUCCUUAGUUCCCAUCACCCAUCCAGCCCACCCCUCACUCACCUCCCUCCAUCAACCUUCAGUUUGUUCUCUAUUGUUAAGAGUCUCUUCUGGUUUGUUUCCCUCUCUUCUCCAUGAUGAGGGUUUUAAGGGCAGUAUGGUCGGCAUUGUAACCUACAAUGGGAUUGGGAGCAUCAAAUCUAGGAGGUUGUAAAGAUAUUUUGUGAGCAUUCUUUCUAAAUUUUGAUUAUUAACAAUUUCAAACAAGUAAAAAUAAGUAGAAUAGUAUAAUAAACCUCCCUAUAUUAUCAUCCAGGUUCAAUAAUUAUCUAUCUUGUUUUAUCUAAACCUGCAGUCCCCACCAUUGCCCUAAAUCAUUUGAAGCAAUUCCCAAAUAUUGUUUCAUGUGUAAGUCUCGUAUAUAUCUCUAAAAGAUACUGACUAUAUUUAAAAAAUCAGGAACAUUAUUUCAGCUAAAAAUAAAAUAAAAUAAAAAAUGAGACUACUCUGAGUCUUUAGAUACUUAAUUUUUAAAAUACAUACUAUACCUUACAGUGGAAUGGGAAAGGGAGAAAGCUGUUUUCUGAUGCAUAGAGGUGUCCUGAAAUGUAGAAAGUCUAGAUGCUUCUUUUAACUGUGGAUACUCAGUGAAGGUAAGGUGAGGUGUUACAAGUAAGGAGAUUUAGUAUUAGGAAAUAUGCUGCAGUUCAAGUAUUGAGAUUUUCUUUUGACCUUAAAUACAAUGCUGGGGAAAAUGGGCCUUACUAUCCAUCUUAUUCCCCAUCACCAGAUUUGUGACCUGCCAUCUUUCAGUGCUACUGCUUUCCAAGGAUACCUUUUUCUUCACGAAUUGCUACCUAUUGAAGUGAUGCUCAUUUCAGCCACGCAGAUCUGGACAGUCUUUGCCUCCACCUCUCUGGCAUUUUUUUGUUGACUGCAUAUUCCCUGGCACAUAAGCAAUCUGAAAAUGGCCAGCUAUUCUGAAUUACACACUUAUUUUAAAUGUGUCUGUUUGUGUCAAAUGGAGAUGUUUAUUUUUAGAAGAUUAUUGAUAGAAACUGGGGAGCAACAUUUAAGUAUCUUCAGUUUCCUGAAAGCACGUUGAAUUCUCCAUUAGAUGAGCCACGAAUUAUUGUUCACAUUAUCUUUCUAACAUUGCACGCUUCCUUUGUGUAUUUAAGUGUUCCUCAAAGUAUGUAGAAUUAAUGUUAAAAAAUAAAUACCUACUAUGAGUCAGGUAUUGUCUUAGACUUGAAUAUGAAAUAGUAUAUAAAACAGACACAGUUUCAGCCCUCUCACAAGAGACAGACGUUAAACAUAUAAUCGCCUAGAAUAUAAAAUUAGAAACUGUGAAGGAAAAAAGCAAGAUACUAGAAAUAAUAAUGGGAAAGCCCUCUUUGAAUUGGAGAGGGAAGUGGCAGAGGCUGUUGUGAGAAAGUAAUAUGUGCUGUGACUUGAAGGAUGACCAGAGUCAGCUAGAUGAAGUGUGUGAGGAAGAGUGGUUCAGGCAAAGGAAACAGCAUGUGCAAAGACCCAGAGGCAUGCAAGAAUUUGACAAGUUCAAGGACCCAAAGGAAAUCCAGGACAGCUGAGUAUAAAAGGCAAGUAAAGUGGGAGAUGAGUUGGAAAAAUCGGGAGGUUCUUGUCGAUCACAUUAAAAUACUUGAAUUUCAUGUGAAAUGAGAAGCCAUUGAAAGUUGUUAAAGCUGGAGAGUGAUUUAGUCUUUGAAAGUAUUUUAAAGAUCACCUUGGUUGCUGCAGGGAGCUUUAGUGGAGGACCUUAAAGAGAGGAACUGGGGAGGCUAAUUAGGAGGAUAUGGCAAGAGAAUGUGUCCAAGGAGAAAGAAAGAGGCCUAUAAAUUGAAAGUACAUUUUGGAGGUAGAACCCAGGAACCUAAUGAUGGAUUGUUUAUCUAAUACAGUUGACCUUUGAACAACAUGGGUUUGAAAUGCAGAUCCACUUAUAUGCAGAUUUGUUUUUAUAAAUACAGUGUAGUAUUAUAAAUGCAAUUUCUCUUCCAAAUGAUUUUCUUAAUAACAUUCUUUUCUCUAGCUUACUUUAUGAUAAGAAUGCAGUAUAUAAUACAGAUACAAAAUACGUGUUAAUAGUCAUAUGUCCUUAUGUUAUCAGUAAGGCUUCCAGCCAAUAGGCUACUAGUUAAGUUUUGGGGGAGUCAAAAGUUAUAUGUAGAUUUUUGACUGCACGAGGGGCCAGCUCCCUAACUCCCACAUUGUUCAGGAUCAAAUGUACAGCUUAUAUUGAGAUAAUCAAUAUCAUUUUAGGUUUUGGGCUUUUCACAUAUCAAUCCUAAAUAUUGAUGGCCCUGCCACUAGUAUGGUCUCAUUUUAGACUGAUAAUAAUCAAUAAUACUCAUUGAGCACUUACUGGUUGCCAAAUGCUGUGCUAAGUGCUCUACUUUGAUAUCUCAUUGAAUUCUUCUUCUGAUCCUAUGGAAAGAUUUUUAGAGAUUAGGAAAUGGACAUUUACGGAAGGUAAGCAACUUGCCCAGCCAUUUGGCUUACAAAUAACACAUCUGGGAUUCAAUCUCUUUUCUCCGAUUUCAAAACUUGUUUUCUUAAGUACAAGCUGACAUUGCUCCGGCAUACCAAAAGCAAGAAUGAUAUAAUCACCUGCUUCUCAAGUGGUUCUAACAAUCCCUGUCUCCUGCUGUUUACUCCCUUAUAGAAUCUCCUUCCUUUGUGUGUAGUAUAGACCUUGUGACUUGCUUCUAACAAAUAGGAUAUAGCAAAAGUGAUAGGAUGCCACUUGGACAGUAGAUUUUACAAGACUGUGAUUUCAGUCUUAAUAGCGCUCUUUCUUGCUCCCUCGCUCUCAUGCUCUGAUGCAGCAAGCUGCCACAUGAACUGCCUGAUGAAAAGCCCACAAUACCAGGAAUGAGGAAUAGCCCAAUGUAGAACCGAAUCCUGCCCACCAACAACCACGUGAGUGCGCAGGGAAGUGGAGCCUUCCCUCCUGGAGCGUUGAGAUUUCUGCAGCGAACACCUUGAUUGCAACCUGUGAGAGAAUCUGAGCAAAGGUCCUAAUUAAGCCAUGCCCAGAUUCCUGACCUACAGAAAUUGAGAUAAUAAAUAUUGUAGCUUUAACCAACCAAGUUUCAGGAACAAUUUGUUACACAGCAAUUGGCAACUAAUACAAAUGAAAAUGUCAGUGUUAAUGAUAUUAAUUAUCAUAAUAUCUUGCAUUUGUGUAAGGUCUCACAUUUUUGCAAAGCAAAAGCAAGUUUCAAAAUAAUGAAAUUCGGGAAACAUAUUACUAAUCGUCUCCCCUUAAAAUAUAGCAGCUGCGCUUGAAAGUACCACCUGCAUUUUCAACGAGAAAAAUUGGUUUAUUCACCUGGUUUUUAUUGCCUUAAAUCCCAUCUCUAAAACCAUUUGAAACAUGCUAUCUAGCAAGGGACUUAUUAUCUUCUUUAUACUAAGUUAUUAGUAACAAGGCACGUUUAAACCAUCUGGCCUGGAUGUUCUCUUGGACUUCAAAUUUGUAGCAGGCAGUUGGAUUUCUUACCCUGUUCUGGGGUUUCCUAAUCCCUAUAUCAAUUCCCACUCCAAGAGAGGGACACGGAUUUUAAGCUGUCAAUCAGUAUUUUGCCAGUUGAGAUGAAAUAUAAAGAGCAAAAAAAAAAAAAAAAAAAAAAAAAAAAAAUUUACAUAAGUCCAGGGCUCAGAUUGGGCAAGACCACAAAGAAUCUUUCUAAAAAGUUUUCCCAGAAGGAGCUAAUUACUGUGGGAGAAAGUAAUCUUCAUGUUUGGCUUGAAUAACCACAGAAACAACAAAAUGCAAAUAUUUAAAAAAUGAUGGGAAAAUUAAAAGGAGAAAACUUUUGAUUGCACUCUCACAGGGACUUAACUUUUUUUUUUUUUUGAUGCAGUGAGUAUAAGUGUAAAUGUAUAUAUCCGCACAUAUACAUUUACAGAAAGGGAAAUAAAGGACAUAUACGAAACAUUCAUUCAUUUCACAAAUAGUUUUUGAGCAUCUAAUAAGUGCCAGUGAAUGUAAGAGAUAUAACACAGUAUAGAACAAACACAGUCUCUACCCAGACAAAGCCCAAAUUCUAGUGACAGAGAUAGAUAAGUAAAAGCUAAAGCAAUAAAUCAAUAAAUAAUUACAAGGUGUGAUAGUGAUUGAAAGUGAAAAGGAGGAAUUGUUUACAUUGGAUGUUCAGAAAAGGUUUGUCUGAGAACUAAAGGAAGGGUGGGGUCAACUAUGUCAGGAGCUGGGGGAAAGCUUUCCAGACAAAGGAAACAGCAAAUACAAAAGCCCAGCGAUCAGAACAAGCGUGGAAUGUUCUAGAAACUGUUAAAGGUCCGUGAGCCUGUUGGAAAGUGAGGUGAGCUGAAGUGGAGCAGUCGUCAUGGGCCAGAUCAUUUUGGGCUUUGUAGGCUCUGGAAAGGAGGGAAAUUUCACUCUUAAGUUUAAGAGAAUCUAUUGAAGGCUUUUAGGCUCCAAAUGGCAUCAUGUGAUUUAUGUGUUUAAAAGAUCGUUCUCAUGGCUGUGUAUAGAACAGACUGUAAGCAAGCAAGACUGGACAUCAGAAGCUGAGUAGAGAGAGGUACUGGCUUGGAGCAGAGGGUGGCAAUAGACAUGAAGAAUAAUGGGCAGAUUUUGGAGGCAGGAUGAAAAGGGUGUACGAGCUAAAGGAAAGGAUGAAUCAAGGAAACCUCUUAGGUUUGGUGUUUGAAUUAAGUGAAUGUGGUGCCGUGUAUUGUUCUGGGAGGUCCCUAUAGAGAUCUCUGUAUUGAGGCACCCACGAGAUCAGUUUUGAACAUGCCAAGUUUGAGACGUCUGUGAGAUAUUCAAGUAAAGCUAUAAUUUAGGAAACAGGAUAUCUAAGUUUGAGCUGGAUAUAAUAAGUAUAAAGCCAAUUUUAUUCUCUGAUUGGCCUAAAUUACAAAUAUACACACCAUGUGCUUGCUGAUUUAAUUCUUUGAUUUCUUAAGGAACUGAUCUGAAUCUCAGAUCCCUUUCAGUGCUUUUACAUUUUUCAUUGUCUCCAAACACAAACCGAUAUCAUUAAAAAUGUUUGUUGUUUCAUGCUUUUUCUAAUUUUUUAGUGUGCUAAUUUUCCUCUAUAAAAUAGGCUUCUCAAUUAGUUAUGGAAAAGGGGAGAGAGUACUUGCUCUAAAGCAGGCAGGGACAACAUAACAUUAUUUCACUCACACAUAACAAUUCUCUAAUAUCCUUUUUUUUUUUUUUUUUUUGCAGGUGAGGAAACUGAGGUUCACAGUAUUGAAGUAAC
Acinonyx jubatus (cheetah) is the source of this 7271-nucleotide long non-coding RNA. RefSeq lists it as uncharacterized. Lineage: Eukaryota; Metazoa; Chordata; Mammalia; Carnivora; Felidae. The record is from RefSeq and is a predicted model, not a curated record. The transcript has 2 exons.